UACGUAGGGGGCAAGCGUUGUCCGGAUUUAUUGGGCGUCAAGAGCGUGUAGGCGGUUUGGUAGGUCCGCUGUGAAAACUCGAGGCUCAACCUCGAGACGUCGAUGGAAACCAUCUGGCUAGAGUCCGGAAGAGGAGAGUGGAAUUCCUGGUGUAGCGGUGAAAUGCGCAGAUAUCAGGAAGAACACCCGUGGCGAAGGCGGCUCUCUGGUACGUGACUGACGCUGAGACGCGAAAGCGUGGGGAGCAAACAGG
Molecule: ribosomal RNA, 253 nt
Filed under: uncultured bacterium
Lineage: Bacteria
Description: partial 16S ribosomal RNA
Rfam family: Bacterial small subunit ribosomal RNA
Source: RNAcentral